This 74-nucleotide transfer RNA is filed under the name Actinomycetota bacterium. Its description in RNAcentral is "Actinobacteria bacterium tRNA-Ser". It matches the Rfam family "tRNA". Rfam says of the family: Transfer RNA (tRNA) molecules are approximately 80 nucleotides in length. Their secondary structure includes four short double-helical elements and three loops (D, anti-codon, and T loops). Lineage: Bacteria; Bacillati; Actinomycetota. The record is from RNAcentral.
ACCGCUGUAGCUCAGCGGAUAGAGCAUCAUUUUGACUAAAUGAAAGGUCGCGAGUUCGAAUCUCGCCAGCGGUA